RNAcentral lists this unclassified non-coding RNA (1733 nucleotides) under uncultured fungus. RNAcentral describes it as "sequence contains 18S rRNA gene, ITS1, 5.8S rRNA gene, ITS2, 28S rRNA gene". The stretch from base 623 to 1733 matches the Rfam family "Eukaryotic large subunit ribosomal RNA", at positions 1 to 961 of the family's 3401-position model. Lineage: Eukaryota; Fungi. The record is from RNAcentral.
GGAAGGAUCAUUAACAAAUCCAUGGGGGGGGGAGAGGGGUAGUGGUAUGAUGAUGUGGUUUACUCUUGUAAAUUAUAUUAUCAUCCGCGUUCCUCUCUUCUCUCAACACACAUUUACCCGAGCGGGUCGUGAGACCGGCUUAGGAAAUUUGAUUCUUUGAAAAGGUUAGAUUUUUUUCUAAACUUUUUAUAAAGGGUCAAAUAUAUAAACGCUUGUAAGUUUUGACUGUUUAGUAUAUAUUUAAUUUAUAAAAAUAACAACUUUUAACAAUGGAUCUCUUGGCUCUUGCAACGAUGAAGAACGCAGUGAAAUGCGAAACGUAAUGCGAUUUGCAUAAUUCUGUGAGUCAUCGAGUCUUUGAACGCACAUGGCACUCUCUAGUACUUCUAGGGAGUAUACCUGUUUGAGAAUCAUUAAAAUAUAUCACUCUAGUUAAGAGUGGAUUUGAGAAUUGAAUAUUAUACGUAUGUGUGAUUUCAUUCUUUAAAAGGAUUAGGCGUCAUUACGUAAAGUUUUUAAAAGUUUUUGACACUGUGUGGUAGAGACAGUUAGUCUUGGAUCACGGUCAAGUUAAAGAUAGGGUUAAAUCCUUUACGUGCCUCUCUUUGAAUUUUAAAAAUUUUGAUCUCAAAUCAGGCAAGACUACCCGCUGAACUUAAGCAUAUCAGUAAGCGGAGGAAAAGAAACUAACAAGGAUUCCCUUAGUAACGGCGAGUGAAGCGGGAAAAGCUCAAAUUUAAAAUCUGAGAGGUGUUUCCUCUCCGAAUUGUAGUUUAAAGAGAUACUAUCUGGUUAAAUUUAAAUGCACAAGUCCCUUGGAAUAGGGUAUCACAGAGGGUGAGAAUCCCGUUUGGGCUUUUAAAUUUAACCUUUAUGAGGUAUUCUCAACGAGUCGAGUUGUUUGGGAUUGCAGCUCAAAAUGGGAGGUAAAUUUCUUCUAAGGCUAAAUAUUGGCAAGAGACCGAUAGCGAACAAGUACCGUGAGGGAAAGAUGAAAAGCACCUUGAAAAGGGAGUUAAAUAGUGCGUGAAAUUGUUAAAAGGGAAACGAUUGAAGCCAGUAUUAUUAAUAAUAGCUCAACAAUAAUUAACGGGAUGAUAGUGGCGUUUGGAAAGAGUAAUAUCUUCUAAAUCGAUUAUUUGAACUUGAUGAUUGUGCAUUCUAUUAUUGAUGAGUCAACAUCAGUUUAAUUUAUUGGACAUUACUUUUAGGAAGGUGGUAUUAAUUUUCGAAUUAGUAUUUUAUAGACUUUAAGUAGCACAAUAAAUUAGACUGAGGUGCAUAUGCAAGCUGCAAUUACUUAAUAACAAUGAUUUAUCCCGAUGUUUAGCUCAAUUUGAACAGCUUGCUGAUCAAGUUAGAGGAAAUACGGUAAAGGUUAUUGUGAGUAAUUUUCAGGAUGUUGACGAAAUGGUUUUAAACGACCCGUCUUGAAACACGGACCAAGGAGUCUAACAUAUAUGCAAGUAUUUGAGUGGCAAACUCAAGUGCGUAAUGAAAGUGAAUUAAAGUGGGAACCGUGAGGUGCACCAUUAACCGAUCUUGAUAUCUCUUGAUAGAUUUGAGUAAGAGCAUAUCUGUUGGGACCCGAAAGAUGGUGAACUAUGCCUGAAUAGGGUGAAGCCAGAGGAAACUCUGGUGGAGGCUCGUAGCCGUUAUGACGUGCAAAUCGAUGGUAAAAUUUGGGUAUAGGGGCGAAAGACUAAUCGAACCAUCUAGUAGCUGGUUCCCUC